UGCUUUGGUGCCUUCGGGAACUCUGAGACAGGUGCUGCAUGGCUGUCGUCAGCUCGUGUUGUGAAAUGUUGGGUUAAGUCCCGCAACGAGCGCAACCCUUAUCCUUUGUUGCCAGCGGUCCGGCCGGGAACUCAAAGGAGACUGCCAGUGAUAAACUGGAGGAAGGUGGGGAUGACGUCAAGUCAUCAUGGCCCUUACGAGUAGGGCUACACACGUGCUACAAUGGCGCAUACAAAGAGAAGCGAACUCGCGAGAGCAAGCGGACCUCAUAAAGUGCGUCGUAGUCCGGAUUGGAGUCUGCAACUCGACUCCAUGAAGUCGGAAUCGCUAGUAAUCGUAGAUCAGAAUGCUACGGUGAAUACGUUCCCGG
RNAcentral lists this ribosomal RNA (370 nucleotides) under Enterobacter sp. JC51. RNAcentral's name for it is "bacterial SSU rRNA". It matches the Rfam family "Bacterial small subunit ribosomal RNA", at positions 1007 to 1377 of the family's 1533-position model. The record is from RNAcentral. Lineage: Bacteria; Pseudomonadati; Pseudomonadota; Gammaproteobacteria; Enterobacterales; Enterobacteriaceae.